This 555-nucleotide ribosomal RNA is filed under the name fungal sp. 2 MC-2015. RNAcentral's name for it is "eukaryotic LSU rRNA". The stretch from base 192 to 345 matches the Rfam family "5.8S ribosomal RNA". The record is from RNAcentral. Lineage: Eukaryota; Fungi.
GGAAGUAAAAGUCGUAACAAGGUUUCCGUAGGUGAACCUGCGGAAGGAUCAUUAUCAAACAGCGGACUUCGGUCCUUGCUGCACCCUUGCUUUUGCGUACCGAUUUGUUUCCUCGGCGGGCUUGCCUGCCGAUAGGACAUUAUCAAACCAUUUUGUAGUUGCAAUCAGCGUCAGAAAAAUAUAAUUAUUACAACUUUCAACAACGGAUCUCUUGGUUCUGGCAUCGAUGAAGAACGCAGCGAAAUGCGAAAAGUAGUGUGAAUUGCAGAAUUCAGUGAAUCAUCGAAUCUUUGAACGCACAUUGCGCCCCUUGGUAUUCCAUGGGGCAUGCCUGUUCGAGCGUCAUUUUGUACCCUCAAGCAAUGCUUGGUGUUGGGCGUUUGUCCUGCAGAGGACUCGCCUGAAAGCGAUUGGCGGCCAACGUACUGGUGGUAGAGCGCAGCACAAUUUGCGUCUCUCUCCUGCGCGUUGGCGACCAUGAAGCCUUUUUUCAACGUUUGACCUCGGAUCAGGUAGGGAUACCCGCUGAACUUAAGCAUAUCAAUAAGCGGAGGA